Molecule: ribosomal RNA, 497 nt
Filed under: uncultured bacterium
Lineage: Bacteria
Description: partial 16S ribosomal RNA
Rfam family: Bacterial small subunit ribosomal RNA
Source: RNAcentral
GAUGAACGCUGGCGGCGUGCCUAAUACAUGCAAGUCGAGCGAACAGACGAGGAGCUUGCUCCUCUGACGUUAGCGGCGGACGGGUGAGUAACACGUGGAUAACCUACCUAUAAGACUGGGAUAACUUCGGGAAACCGGAGCUAAUACCGGAUAAUAUAUUGAACCGCAUGGUUCAAUAGUGAAAGACGGUUUUGCUGUCACUUAUAGAUGGAUCCGCGCCGCAUUAGCUAGUUGGUAAGGUAACGGCUUACCAAGGCAACGAUGCGUAGCCGACCUGAGAGGGUGAUCGGCCACACUGGAACUGAGACACGGUCCAGACUCCUACGGGAGGCAGCAGUAGGGAAUCUUCCGCAAUGGGCGAAAGCUUGACGGAGCAACGCCGCGUAAGUGAUGAAGGUCUUCGGAUCGUAAAACUCUGUUAUUAGGGAGGAACAAAUGUGUAAGUAACUAUGCACGUCUUGACGGUACCUAAUCAGAAAGCCACGGCUAACUACGUG